AGUGAAACGGUCAAGCCUUUCAAAAAUCUAUGUAGAGUCUUGUCUUCCAUUGUACCAAGUAUAACGGGGUCCUUUAAAGCCAAGAUCUUUUAGUUCACAAUCAAAGAGCAUUUGCUGGAAACUUUCUAGUUGUUGUCGAGGUCUGUCCUAGCCAUCCCAUUUUUCCUCAUUAGAUAAAAUUUCGUUGAAGUCGCCAAAGACAAGCCAAGAUUCUAAAGGGUCUCUCUUCAUAUUCCACAAUAGUUUCCAGGUUUCCAUAUGUUUACUGGUAUCGGGGCGGCCAUAGAUACCUGUUAAAAACCAGGUAUGAAGGGGUGAGUCGAUUUGUGCAUCAAUGUGGCUUUUUGAGUAAUUGAGGAUAGUUAAUUGAACAUCAUGUUUCCAAAGGAUUGCAAUUCUUCCACUGCGCCCCACUACCUCCACAUUAAAACAGCCGUAGAACUUCAAUUUUAUUAAACAUAUUUCCAUUUUUGUUGUAUUCAGUUUUGUCUCUUGCAAGAACAAAACAUCGGGAUCUUCCUUUCUGAUAAUGUCAGAAAGAGCACGAAUGCCACGAGGGUUCCCAAGCCCUCGUGCAUUCCAACUUAACAACUUCAUGGCGAUUGGUGGGGCUGAGUUUUAGCCACCACCGAAAUUGGAGAGUUGGAACCGUAGUUCCAUUCAUGGGAUUUUUCUUUACCCUUCAGUCUUUUGGAGAUCUGAGUAGUUUUGCUAAUUUCAGGAGAAGUGUUAGAGAUAUCUUAAGGCUUGCUUGUGGAGUAGAGGUAAUAGAGCUAAGAAUCUUCGAUUUAUUUACUCUUUUCCAACGUCUGGUGAGGUUAGAAGCAUUUUCUGAAAUUGAAGUCCCACUAGAUUUGGAUAAUUCAGAGACAGGUUGUGAAGUGUCUGGAGUAUUCUUAGGCGAAUUUUCAGCAUCUCUACUGUCUUCUUUAAACACUUCCGUUUGAUUAGAAAUUAUGAAUCAGUCUGUUCCGAUAAUUGCUCCAGAUUUGUUACCUCUAGCAUCUCUGCAUUAUCUCCUUUCCCAACCUUUCCAUGUAAUUUCUCCUGAAUUUCAGCUGAGUUACUGUCAAUUGCCAUAUCUAUCAUUUCCUUGUCGUGAAUCUGGUCAUCGAAACUAGGCUUUGCCACCAGAGAAUUUGGGGCUCUGAAAUUCGUUUGACGAUCACGAAUUGG
RNAcentral lists this long non-coding RNA (1176 nucleotides) under Olea europaea subsp. europaea. The record is from RNAcentral. Lineage: Eukaryota; Viridiplantae; Streptophyta; Magnoliopsida; Lamiales; Oleaceae.